AAAGAAAGUAAGCAAGGGCGCAUGGCGGAUGCCUUGGCUCUCGGAGGCGAUGAAGGACGUGAUAAGCUGCGAUAAGCUUCGGGCAGGUGCAAAUAACCUUUGAUCCGAAGAUUUCCGAAUGGGACAACCCGUCAUUCUGAAGGAAUGACAUCUUGCAUAGCAAGAGGCUAACGCAGGGAACUGAAACAUCUUAGUACCUGUAGGAAAAGAAAAUAAUAAUGAUUCCCCUAGUAGUGGCGAGCGAACGGGGAUUAGCCCAAACCAAUGUUGUUACGGCAAUAUUGGGGUUGUAGGACCACGAUGUCGCAAGAAGUUUAGUGAGAAGAACCCUUUGGAAAAUGGGACCAUAGACGGUGAUAGUCCGGUAUUCGAAGCUAAAUGAAGCGUAGUGGUAUCCUGAGUAGCGCGGGACACGAGGAAUCUUGCGUGAAUCUGCCGGGACCAUCCGGUAAGGCUAAAUACUCCCGAGAGACCGAUAGCGAACCAGUACUGUGAAGGAAAGGUGAAAAGCACUUCGAAUAGAAGAGUGAAAUAGUCCCUGAAACCGUGCGCCUACAAGCGGUCGGAGCUGCUUCAGCAGUGACGGCGUGCCUUUUGCAUAAUGAACCUACGAGUUACUUUUUCCGGCAAGGUUAAGGAUCUUGAGAUCCGCAGCCGAAGCGAAAGCGAGUCUUAAUAGGGCGAUUAGUCGGAAGGAGUAGACGCGAAACCAAGUGAUCUACCCUUGGUCAGGUUGAAGGUUAGGUAACACUAACUGGAGGACCGAACCGAUAAGCGUUGAAAAGCUUCCGGAUGAACUGAGGGUGGGGGUGAAAGGCUAAUCAAACUUGGAGAUAGCUCGUACUCCCCGAAAUGCAUUUAGGUGCAGCCUUGGGAAUUACUACUGUGAGGUAGAGCGACUGAUAAGAUGCGAGGGCUUCACCGCCUAUCAAGUCUUGAUAAACUCCGAAUGCGCAGUAGUUCGAUCCCAGGAGUGAGGGCAUGGGUGCUAAGGUCCAUGUCCUAAAGGAGAAGAAUCCAGACCAUCAGCUAAGGUCCCGAAAUAAUUGCUAAGUUGAACUAACGAAGUCAGAUUGCUAAGACAGCUAGGAUGUUGGCUUGGAAGCAGCCAUUCAUUUAAAGAGUGCGUAACAGCUCACUAGUCGAGGAGUUUGGCGUGGAUAAUAAUCGGGCAUUAAGCAAUUUACCGAAGCUAUGGGAUGUUAACUAAACACUAACAUCGGUAGGGGAGCAUUCCACUCUGCGUCGAAGGUGAAGCGUGAGCUUUGCUGGAGCGUGUGGAAAAGCAAAUGUAGGUAUAAGUAACGAUAAAGGGGGUGAGAAACCCCCUCGCCGAAAGACUAAGGUUUCCUGAUCAACGCUAAUCGGAUCAGGGUUAGUCGGGUCCUAAGGCUCAGCCGAACGGUGAGGCCGAUGGCAGAACAGGUUAAUAUUCCUGUACUACCUUAAGGAGUGACGUGGAGACGGAGGAGUGACAACGCCGCGGACUGACGGAAUAGUCCGUUGAAGGGUGUAGAUGUUGAUUAUCCCAGGCAAAUCCGGGAUAAGAGUCGAACCUGAUAGUAUACCAAAUUCUUCGGAAUAAGGUAAUAGUGCGUGUAAGCAUACUCCCAAGAAAAUCCGCUAAACUUAAUCUUUAAGGUACCCGUACCGCAAACGGACACACGUAGUCGGGUUGAAUAUACUAAGGCGCUUGAGUGAUUCACGGUUAAGGAACUAGGCAAAUUGACCCUGUAACUUCGGGAUAAAGGGUCCCAACGAGAGUUGGGCGCAGAGAAUAGGUCCAGGCAACUGUUUAACAAAAACACAGGGCUGUGCUAAAUUGAAAGAUUACGUAUACAGCCUGACACCUGCCCGGUGCUGGAAGGUUAAGAGGAGAUGUCAUCGCAAGAGAAGCAUUGAAUUGAAGCCCCAGUAA
RNAcentral lists this ribosomal RNA (1918 nucleotides) under Alistipes onderdonkii. Its description in RNAcentral is "partial 23S ribosomal RNA". It matches the Rfam family "Bacterial large subunit ribosomal RNA", at positions 1 to 1926 of the family's 2925-position model. Lineage: Bacteria; Pseudomonadati; Bacteroidota; Bacteroidia; Bacteroidales; Rikenellaceae. The record is from RNAcentral.